Molecule: long non-coding RNA, 1077 nt
Filed under: Diuraphis noxia (Russian wheat aphid)
Lineage: Eukaryota; Metazoa; Arthropoda; Insecta; Hemiptera; Aphididae
Description: uncharacterized LOC107165397, transcript variant X2
Source: RNAcentral
GUUAGAUUUGUAGUAUUUUUGUGAAGAAUAAGGUACACAUAAAUAAUAUUUUGAGUUCUGAUGAUAUGUAUGGGCAGUCUUCAUCUAGUUUUGGUACAGACCAAUUACAAAGUCAAUUAAUUGAUUUAGACAUGGAAAUUAAUGAUAGCAUUUAUAACAUACCUUAUUAACUAUCCCACUGAAGAUGAUUUGCUUAAACUUAAAAAUCAAUUAACAAAAUGGAACUUACUAUGUGUAUACCAGACGUGUAUUGACCAACUAAUUGAUCUCAAGAUUAUGGCACUUAUGAGAUUAGAACAUGUAUAUAAAUUAUUAGAAAAAUUUCCUUUGGGGAUUAUAAUAUUAUUUGAAUCUGAACUAAUAAAAUGGCAAAAAAAUAUAAGCAUUAAUGACACCGUUGUUAAAAGUAAUGUAUCUAAUGAAAUAGUACAUGCUCCAGUUUGUGUUGAAAAUACUUAUUAUUAUAAGAAACUUAAUAAACUAUUAAUGAUGGAAUAAGAUCAACAUUAGUAGACUUAAUUAUCAGCUAUAUGGUAACAAAACAUUUAUCAAUGUCAAUUGGCUUUGAAAAGUCUAUGGCCAAUCAAAUAGUAGCCAUGUUCAAAACAGAAAUUAAGAAAUCCUAAAGAAAAAUUAUACACCAAGUACUUCAAUUCUGUGAGGAGUUCAAAAACAAAUGGGUUAAUAGAAAGUGCACCAACAGUUAUAACUGUUUACUAUAGUAAACCUAACAACAAUGAUAAUUCAAAAGAUUGUACAGUUGACGGACGUGGUUGGACACAAAAAGAGUUUGAUUUAGAAAAGAACUGGAAGGCUACAAUUAAUUACAGACUUAAUUAUAUUAAAAAUUCUUCAUACACUAAUGAUGUAUUGAAAAUGUGGAAGCAAUAUUUAGUACUAUAUGGACAUAAACUAGUGAUAACUGUGUGGUGUAGUCUAUGAAUAAAAGCACUAAAUAAUUGACAUAGACUAUAAUGAGUAUAAUGCAUUAUUUCCCAAUUGUGCCAAUAUUUAUGAUGAGUUUAAUUUAAAAAUUGAUAAGGUGCUUACAAUUAUGGAUGUAAAAAUAAAAGAUAU